RNAcentral lists this ribosomal RNA (168 nucleotides) under Chloris barbata. RNAcentral describes it as "5.8S ribosomal RNA". It matches the Rfam family "5.8S ribosomal RNA". From Rfam's summary of the family: 5.8S ribosomal RNA (5.8S rRNA) is a component of the large subunit of the eukaryotic ribosome. It is transcribed by RNA polymerase I as part of the 45S precursor that also contains 18S and 28S rRNA. Lineage: Eukaryota; Viridiplantae; Streptophyta; Magnoliopsida; Poales; Poaceae. The record is from RNAcentral.
CACAUGACUCUCCGCAACCGAAAUCUCCGCUCUUGGAUCCAUUAAAGAAGCAACACGUGAAAUGCGAUACCUGGUGUGAAUUGCAGAAUCCCGUGAACCAUCGAGUUUUUGAACGCAAGUUGCGCCCGAGGCCUUUUGGUCGAGGGCACGUCUGCCUGGGCGUCACGU